UGCUUGCACCGGGGAUUAGUGGCGAACGGGUGAGUAACACGUGAGUAACCUGCCCUUGACUCUGGGAUAAGCCUGGGAAACCGGGUCUAAUACCGGAUACGACCUGUCACCGCAUGGUGGUGGGUGGAAAGAUUUUUUGGUUUUGGAUGGACUCGCGGCCUAUCAGCUUGUUGGUGGGGUAAUGGCUCACCAAGGCGACGACGGGUAGCCGGCCUGAGAGGGUGACCGGCCACACUGGGACUGAGACACGGCCCACACUCCUACGGGAGGCAGCAGUGGGGAAUAUUGCACAAUGGGCGCAAGCCUGAUGCAGCGACCCCGCGUGAGGGAUGACGGCCUUCGGGUUGUAAACCUCUUUCAGCAGGGAAGAAGCGGAAGUGACGGUACCUGCAGAAGAAGCGCCGGCUAACUACGUGCCAGCAGCCGCGGUAAUACGUAGGGCGCAAGCGUUGUCCGGAAUUAUUGGGCGUAAAGAGCUCGUAGGCGGUUUGUCGCGUCUGCUGUGAAAGCCCGGGGCUCAACCCCGGGUCUGCAGUGGGUACCGGCAGACUGGAGUGCAGUAGGGGAGACUGGAAUUCCUGGUGUAGCGGUGAAAUGCGCAGAUAUCAGGAGGAACACCGAUGGCGAAGGCAGGUCUCUGGGCUGUAACUGACGCUGAGGAGCGAAAGCAUGGGGAGCGAACAGGAUUAGAUACCCUGGUAGUCCAUGCCGUAAACGUUGGGCACUAGGUGUGGGGGACAUUCCACGUUUUCCGCGCCGUAGCUAACGCAUUAAGUGCCCCGCCUGGGGAGUACGGCCGCAAGGCUAAAACUCAAAGGAAUUGACGGGGGCCC
This 833-nucleotide ribosomal RNA is filed under the name Crystallibacter crystallopoietes. RNAcentral's name for it is "bacterial SSU rRNA". It matches the Rfam family "Bacterial small subunit ribosomal RNA", at positions 77 to 922 of the family's 1533-position model. The record is from RNAcentral. Lineage: Bacteria; Bacillati; Actinomycetota; Actinomycetes; Micrococcales; Micrococcaceae.